Molecule: long non-coding RNA, 554 nt
Filed under: Rattus norvegicus (Norway rat)
Lineage: Eukaryota; Metazoa; Chordata; Mammalia; Rodentia; Muridae
Description: long non-coding RNA NONRATT031226
Source: RNAcentral
GCCGCCACGCCCGCUCCUCCUGAGGCUCCCGCGCCGCCGCUCGGAGCCACGGACUGGAAACCCGCCCGGGCCGCCAUCUUCCCGGAGCCGCCGCUGCAGCUGCACAAAGAACCGGAACCGGAACUCCCCCCGCCCCCCGCGCGCCCCCCGAGCGCCUGGGCUGUUUGUGGGCCCGGCCCGCCGGCGGGCACGGGCGGCUCGGGGCAGCGAGACUACGGGCUAGAGGGGGCGACUAGCGGGAAAGGCGUGCUGACCACUCCCUCCCGCCUUCACGGGCCAGGAGGGAGCACCAUAGAGAGGCGGUGUGCUGAUAAAGAAGUGCCGGGAGCGAGCGCCCCCGGGCGGUUGGAGGACGUCAAGGCCUUGCAAAGAGCCCAGCCCACCCCGCAGGCGGCUGGAGUGAUGCUUCACCUCGGCCCAGUGCGUUUACCUCUCCAAAGCAUUCUGGUUGGUUUGCUUUUUGUUUUCCUACGGAUCAGACUCCGGAUGCUAAAGAGGGAAACAGGCUGUUUGUUCGUUUUACAAACGGAAAAGCUGAACUCAAAGGAGGUGAA